GCCUGGGUAGCUCAGUGGUAGAGCGCGUUCUUGGUAAGAACGAGGUCGUGGGUCCAAUCCCCACCUCAGGCU
This 72-nucleotide transfer RNA is filed under the name Candidatus Woesebacteria bacterium. Its description in RNAcentral is "tRNA-Thr". It matches the Rfam family "tRNA". From Rfam's summary of the family: Transfer RNA (tRNA) molecules are approximately 80 nucleotides in length. Their secondary structure includes four short double-helical elements and three loops (D, anti-codon, and T loops). Further hydrogen bonds mediate the characteristic L-shaped molecular structure. tRNAs have two regions of fundamental functional importance: the anti-codon, which is responsible for specific mRNA codon recognition, and the 3' end, to which the tRNAs corresponding amino acid is attached (by aminoacyl-tRNA synthetases). tRNAs cope with the degeneracy of the genetic code in two manners: having more than one tRNA (with a specific anti-codon) for a particular amino acid; and 'wobble' base-pairing, i.e. permitting non-standard base-pairing at the 3rd anti-codon position. The record is from RNAcentral. Lineage: Bacteria; Candidatus Woeseibacteriota.